This 253-nucleotide ribosomal RNA is filed under the name uncultured bacterium. RNAcentral's name for it is "partial 16S ribosomal RNA". It matches the Rfam family "Bacterial small subunit ribosomal RNA", at positions 524 to 776 of the family's 1533-position model. The record is from RNAcentral.
UACGAAGGGGGCUAGCGUUGUUCGGAAUUACUGGGCGUAAAGCGCACGUAGGCGGAUAUUUAAGUCAGGGGUGAAAUCCCGGGGCUCAACCCCGGAACUGCCUUUGAUACUGGGUAUCUUGAGUCCGGAAGAGGUGAGUGGAACUCCUAGUGUAGAGGUGGAAUUCGUAGAUAUUAGGAAGAACACCAGUGGCGAAGGCGGCUCACUGGUCCGGUACUGACGCUGAGGUGCGAAAGCGUGGGGAGCAAACAGG